UACGUAGGUCCCGAGCGUUGUCCGGAUUUAUUGGGCGUAAAGCGAGCGCAGGUGGUUUAAUAAGUCUGAUGUAAAAGGCAGUGGCUCAACCAUUGUGUGCAUUGGAAACUGUUAGACUUGAGUGCAGUAGAGGAGAGUGGAAUUCCAUGUGUAGCGGUGAAAUGCGUAGAUAUAUGGAGGAACACCGGUGGCGAAGGCGGCCUUCUGGCCUUAACCUGACGCUGAGGAGCGAAAGCUAGGGGAGCAAACGGG
This 252-nucleotide ribosomal RNA is filed under the name uncultured microorganism. RNAcentral describes it as "partial 16S ribosomal RNA". It matches the Rfam family "Bacterial small subunit ribosomal RNA", at positions 524 to 776 of the family's 1533-position model. The record is from RNAcentral.